CACGGGGGGAGCAAGCGUUGUUCGGAAUCACUGGGCGUAAAGGGCGUGUAGGCGGUCAGGUAAGUGGGAUGUGAAAUGCCUCGGCUCACCCGAGGCACUGCAUUCCAAACUGCUUGGCUUGAGUAUGGGAGAGGAUGAGGGAAUUCCUGGUGUAGCGGUGAAAUGCGUAGAUAUCUGGAGGAACACCGGUGGCGAAGGCGGCGUUCUGGACUGUUUCUGACACUGAGGAACGAAAGCCAGGGGAGCAAACGGG
Molecule: ribosomal RNA, 253 nt
Filed under: uncultured bacterium
Lineage: Bacteria
Description: partial 16S ribosomal RNA
Rfam family: Bacterial small subunit ribosomal RNA
Source: RNAcentral